This 29-nucleotide non-coding RNA is filed under the name Mus musculus (house mouse). Lineage: Eukaryota; Metazoa; Chordata; Mammalia; Rodentia; Muridae. The record is from RNAcentral.
UCUUAAAUGCUGAUUGACGGACCUCAUUU